RNAcentral lists this non-coding RNA (30 nucleotides) under Mus musculus (house mouse). The record is from RNAcentral. Lineage: Eukaryota; Metazoa; Chordata; Mammalia; Rodentia; Muridae.
GCCCAGUUCCUACUACACAGUUGCUGUGUC